CUUGAUCGAGCCGAGCAGCAGCGGCCGGUCGGCGGGCCGGUCCUGUCCGUACGUGGCGAGCAGGGCCUGCGCCUC
RNAcentral lists this antisense RNA (75 nucleotides) under Micromonospora halophytica. RNAcentral's name for it is "ASpks TB sRNA". It matches the Rfam family "ASpks TB sRNA". Lineage: Bacteria; Bacillati; Actinomycetota; Actinomycetes; Micromonosporales; Micromonosporaceae. The record is from Rfam by way of RNAcentral.